RNAcentral lists this ribosomal RNA (512 nucleotides) under uncultured bacterium. RNAcentral's name for it is "bacterial SSU rRNA". It matches the Rfam family "Bacterial small subunit ribosomal RNA", at positions 15 to 518 of the family's 1533-position model. The record is from RNAcentral.
GAUUAUGGCUCAGAACGAACGCUGGCGGCGCGUUUAAGCAUGCAAGUCGAGCGGCAAGGGCCUUCGGGCCCCUAGAGCGGCGGACGGGUGAGUAACACGUGGACAAUCUGCCCCCCGGCCCGGGAUAGCCCAGGGAAACCUGGAUUAAUACCGGAUGAGACGGGACCCGCGAUGGCGGGAUCCGGGAAAGGCGCUGCGGCGCCGCCGGGGGAUGAGUCUGCGUCCCAUUAGCUAGACGGCGGGGUAACGGCCCACCGUGGCGACGAUGGGUAGCCGGCCUGAGAGGGUGGACGGCCACAUUGGAACUGAGACACGGUCCAGACUCCUACGGGAGGCAGCAGCUAAGAAUCUUCCGCAAUGGGCGAAAGCCUGACGGAGCGACGCCGCGUGAACGAAGAAGGCCGUGAGGUUGUAAAGUUCUUUUCGGGAGGGGGAACAACCGUGGCAGGGAAUGGCCGCGGGAUGACGUGAAUCCCGGAAUAAGCCCCGGCUAACUACGUGCCAGCAGCAGC